GUAGGGAAUAUUGCUUAAUGGGCGAAAGCCUGAAGCAGCAACGCCGCGUGUGCGAUGAAGGUCUUCGGAUUGUAAAGCACUUUUAGAGGGGAUGAGGAAGGACAGUACCCUCUGAAUAAGCCUCGGCUAACUACGUGCCAGCAGCCGCGGUAAAACGUAGGAGGCGAGCGUUAUCCGGAUUUACUGGGCGUAAAGCGCGUGUAGGCGGCAUAAUAAGUUGGAUGUGAAAGCUCCUGGCUAAACUGGGAGAGGACGUUCAAUACUGUUGUGCUUGAGGAUGGGAGAGGGAGGUGGAAUUCCGGGUGUAGUGGUGAAAUGCGUAGAUAUCCGGAGGAACACCAGUGGCGAAGGCGGCCUCCUGGCCCAUUUCUGACGCUCAGACGCGAAAGCUAGGGUAGCAAACGGGAUUAGAAACCCCAGUAGUCC
RNAcentral lists this ribosomal RNA (426 nucleotides) under uncultured bacterium. RNAcentral describes it as "bacterial SSU rRNA". It matches the Rfam family "Bacterial small subunit ribosomal RNA", at positions 354 to 796 of the family's 1533-position model. The record is from RNAcentral.